Non-coding RNA from Cordylochernes scorpioides, 75 nucleotides. NCBI's taxonomy places the organism in Eukaryota, Metazoa, Arthropoda, Arachnida, Pseudoscorpiones, Chernetidae. The record is from the annotation of a GenBank genome assembly.
UGUCCAGGGGCGGGAAUCGAACCCACAACCUUCUGCUUACCGGGCAGGUGCCAUGUCCUUUAGGCUACUCUGGAC